RNAcentral lists this non-coding RNA (45 nucleotides) under Schistosoma haematobium. The record is from RNAcentral. Lineage: Eukaryota; Metazoa; Platyhelminthes; Trematoda; Strigeidida; Schistosomatidae.
AUCCGGCUGACGAGUCCCGAACGGUGCGAAACGCGCGUCUUGGAU